UACGGGGGGAGCAAGCGUUGUUCGGAUUUACUGGGCGUAAAGGGCGCGUAGGCGGUCGUGACAAGUCACUUGUGAAAUCUCCGGGCUUAACUCGGAACGGUCAAGUGAUACUGUCGGACUAGAGUACAGAAGGGGCAACUGGAAUUCUCGGUGUAGCGGUGAAAUGCGCAGAUAUCAGGAGGAACACCGAUGGCGAAGGCAGCUCGCUGGGCCGUAACUGACGCUGAGGAGCGAAAGCAUGGGGAGCGAACAGG
This 254-nucleotide ribosomal RNA is filed under the name uncultured bacterium. RNAcentral describes it as "partial 16S ribosomal RNA". It matches the Rfam family "Bacterial small subunit ribosomal RNA", at positions 524 to 776 of the family's 1533-position model. The record is from RNAcentral.